Molecule: long non-coding RNA, 8578 nt
Filed under: Panax ginseng (ginseng)
Lineage: Eukaryota; Viridiplantae; Streptophyta; Magnoliopsida; Apiales; Araliaceae
Description: long non-coding RNA (PGIN_LNC001380)
Source: RNAcentral
AUUUAAUUUUUCUUUAAUAAAUAAAUAAAUAUAUAUACUUAAUAUAUUUAUUUAGUUAAUCACAUACAUACAUCACAUAAGUCAAAAAGCAUUUAUCCUUAUCAUAUCUCUUUAUUAAAAUUUAUUUCCUUAAUAAAUUUCUAACAUUCAUAAUCUAUUUCUUUCUUUUAAAAAUUUCAAUCAUUCUUAUAAUUAAUUCACAUAAAAUUAAAGGUAACAUAAUACCUUAUUCUUAACAUACUUCCAAAUAAAAUUUCAUUCUAGGUUUUUUUAACCCUUAUUUUCUCAAUUCUAUUCAAAUAGCAAACCAUAUAGGUUCUUCUUUUAAUUUUUUUUGAAAUCAUUCUUCUAUUUCCACUCUAGGUUUUAUUCUUUAACCUUUAAUUUAAUCAUUCAAGAUCUUAUGAAUUUUCGGGAUGUCAAAUUCUUCCCCCUUAUAAGGAUUUCAUUCCCGGAAUCACUAUUGUACCAAAAGUACAUAUUUUAACCUCUCCUUCUGAGAAUUUCAUCCUUGAAAUUUCAGCCUACUACACCCUACUCCUUUCAUUUACCAAAACUAAGUUUUCAUAAUAAAUUUUAUCCAAUCAUAUCAGAUUUUACUCUUACGCAACGAGUUCAUACAAUUUUAUACCCAUCAUCACAUACUACCCAAAACAUCUCUAAAGAGUAAAAAUUUUCAUAUCAUGCUGAGGGGUCAUAUAGACCAUGAACACAUAGUUUUAACGGUAUUUAUACCAUAAAACAAUAAAUUAAUAGGUAUGUUUACAAUCUUAAAGAAAAUAAACUGUCGCUACUAGUACUUUAGGUUAUUAGCCUAUCGUACGCUUACGUCAUGUAUGACGUAUCAAUCAUAUCUCACGAAUAUUUUCGCUACAAAUAUAUUGGAUUAUUUUAUCCAAUUGACAUAGUUCACCUCAGUCUUAUCAUAGGAUUCCGCACCAAAAUAAUUUAGUUCGAGAUAAAUUCUCAAAGAAUACUUUGAUUUUUUAUAAACAUUUGUCUAGCUGAAUAAAAUAGCUUAGACUCAUACCAAUAAUUCAAUUUUAAUUAAAACAUGUCUGGCCAAAUUUAGUUGGUAAUAAUUUAUCUUUAAAAUUAUAAAAAUAAUUUUAUGACAUCAUGAUACCGCACUAUAUUUACAGCCCGUUUGAGGAUUCCGUCAUUGUGUGACUUUGUCAUACUACAUCAUUCCAUAGUGGUUGCCGAUCUAUAGAUCGCAUCCAACUAAGUAAUUCUUCAUUGAUAACUCCAUCAUUUUUAUCAUCUCUGCACCAAGUUACAUGAUGCAUUAAUGAUAUAUAAAAUACAUUUUGAUAUUUCAAAUCAUUUUCAUCUAGCCGAAACAAUUAUCAUAGACUUUUCUCUAAACAGUUCAAAAAUCAUUGCAAAUCAAUUUUAGUGUUAUCAUACCUCAACAAGUAAUGAUGUGUCAGUGUCCCGAAGUCCACACAUACACACUUGUCACCAUGUAUUGAGAAUAAAAAAAUUUAUUUCUAAAAGGCACAUCAGUGCGUAUUUAGCUUGAUGUCAAAAGGUUCGAAGUCUAGCAUAGCUAGAAGAUUUGGAAUACAUAUACUUCCACCAUCAACUUCACUUUCUUUAAUUAUCCAUUGCUUAAUAAUUCUAUCUAUUUCUAUCAUCCUCAAUUCUCCAUUCACAAUUUUCCUAUAUCCCAAUAUAGUUCAUCAAACUUACCACACGUUAUGAGUUCAGGAACUUUCCACAAUAAUAUUAGUUUAGGAACUUAUCCUAGUAAUACGUAGUUCAAGAACUAUCCAUAUGUUUAGAGGUUCAAAAACAUAUCAUACGAUUAUGAGUCACAAACUUACCAUAAGUAUGAGUUUUAAGAACUCGCACCUAACCUUAUAUUCUCUACCUAUCUGUUAUACACAUGAGAAAAGAGUCACCUUCUCAACAUGUAUAUAUCAAAUAGCGCGACACAAAUAUUUCAAUAAUUAUCAGUGUAAGAAACUAAGUGGUUGUUACACCAAGUACAAUUCCCCGCCCAUAUAAAGAAUCAUACAACUUAGCUGCUGACAUGAGUGUACACACUUGAAAUUUCGUUUUCCUGUUACUAACUAUACAGGAGGACAAAAGUGUCUUUUUCACACUCCAGAGAUAACCCUGGAAGUGUAGCGCCCCCAAAUCCAUGGUCCUAAAUCACCACGGAUCUGGUACACUAGUUCUAACUAUUGCGGAAGAUAUAAUUUUUAUACAUUAAAUAUCAUACACUAUCCCCAAGGUCGAGUAACCAUAACUUAUACACAAUUCCAUACCUGUCUAACAUACAAAUAAAUUACUUUUACAAAUCUAGCUGCACACAUAGUCCCAAGCUGAGCUUGACUUUAUCUUUUCCUUGUAUCGACGUAUUCGCCUUAAUCAACAAUGUUUUAUCAUGAUAUAGCAAGGGUGAGCAUUAAAGUUGCCCAACAGGUUUAAAUUAUAUUUAAGGAUAUAUCAUGAUUGAAAGAGUCUGAAUAAUAAGCUGGCUAUAAUUCAUCAAUAUAAUUGAGAACUAGCACGAACAAACUUUUGACUGAACAAGUAUUAAACAUGAACAAAUAUAUCUGAACCGAAUGGUAAUGAAGGUGAUCAGCCUUUCAUACCUGACUUAUACAUACAAUAUGUACAGAGUACAAUUCUACAUGGCAAUCAACAAUGAUUAACCAUAAGCAUAUCUGAAUGAAAUAACUCUUAGUAGAGUUAAGAAAAACACUUGCCUGUACCGUUGAUUACCGUUACGAAAUAUAACUUAGCUUUAUCCGAAGACCUAAUAUAGAUAAUACCGAUCUCCAAAUAUUAGAAUAAUAUUAUCACAGUAUAAAAUAAUCUAAACACAUUAUCACAUAAUCCUAUCAGUCUAUACAUCAUAUAAGACUUGGUAUCAGGUCAAACUAUUUCAGUCUGACUUGAAUCCGACACAAUUCUAACAUCCCGACGGUCUAGUCGGACAAUUAUCGAGUUUAAGUCUAAUUAAACUCUGCCUAACACUUAACAAUUAUCUUAGUUAAUUUAUUAAUCAGUCAAAAUAAUUUUAUAGACCCAUAAUAAUUUUUAGAUAAUUAUUAUCCUUUAUUAUGAUUUUUCAAUCAAUAAUAUCAUAUUUAUAUGCAUUAAAUACUACUUAAUUCCAUUAUCAUCAAUAUUAAUUUAAUAUUAAAUAUCAAUGAAAAUCAUAACAUAAUAUUAUAAUAUAUUUAUAAUAUCUCAAAGUAUUUUUAAUACUUUAAAAUCAUAUUUAUAUGAUUUUUAACAGCUAAAUUCAUUAUCCGAUAAUUGAUAUUAAAAUAUUAAUAUUUUCAUGACUAAAUAUAAAAAGUUAUAUUUUAUAACUUCAAAUAUUUUUAUAACACUUAAAUUAUUUUUAUAUAAUUUUUAAAGCAUUAAUUCUAUUUUUCCAUAAUUUAUUUAAUACAUUUAUCAAAUAAAUUAAUUACCAUUAAUAAUAAAUUAUUAAUGAAAUUCAUCAUAAAAUAUUAAAAGUCAUUAAAAAUAACUUAAAAUAUUUUCUUAUACCAUAAUAUAAUUUUUCAUGAAUUAAAACCAUUUUUAAAUAAUUUAUUUAAUAAUAUAAUUAAAUAAAUAAAUACCUUUUAUAUUCCAAAAAUAUUAAAUAUUUUUGAAAUAUACUCAAAAUAAUUAAAAACUAAUUUUUAGGCCUUAAAAUAAUUUUUCAUAAUUUAUUAUGUAUUUUUAAUAAUUAAAAAUUAUUUAAUACUAAUUAUUUAAUAAAAUACUAAUUUUAUAAUUAAUCUACCGCUAAAGGGCCCUAUAGCGAUAAAACUGUCGCUAUAGGUGUUCUUAGGCUGUUCUUGACCAAACCCAGAUUUCAUGUCAGUUUAUCGGAUGCCUACUUUGACCAUAUUUUGAUCUGUGAUCCUAAGGUUUUCUUGGCUGCUUGAUGUUAUAAACAUGUAGUAUUAAUGUAAUACUACAAUAAAUACCUAAGUUAAGAUCCAUACAACAAAACAUCAGAGAGAUCAAAGCCUCCCAAUAUUCUGACAACGGUGUUCUUGAGUUUCUGGGUUUUCCAGAAACUCGAGCAGUGUGAGGGUCCUUACUUUGCAUCCUUAUAUCUUCAAUUCUAGGAAUGUUUUAUGUGAUCUAUGAAUUCAAAAGUGCAUUAGAGGUCAGGGUACAAUAACAUGCUAUCCAUUCAGUCUAACAUCAUAACAAAUGCAAGAUCCAUGCUAGUCAAACUAUGUCAGAAAUUUCGGCUGAUGAAGAUCUGGGUUUUCCAGAAAACCUUCAUGAGCCAUUUAGGUCAACCUAGUUUGACCAUGAUUAUAUAAGAUUCUGUUACGGAUAUGGGUGAUCUAAAAGCUUUAGUGUGUAGUUAACAUGUCAGGCUGCAAGUAUAUAACAACAACAUGGCCCAAACACUUAACAGUUGCAAGAUCAAGCGCCUGCAAAGUCGUUGUCAGAGAUUUCUGGGUUUCUGGGUUACCCAGAAACCAGAUCUUGUGCUCGGUCAACGCAGUUUGACUGCUAAUAACUUUUAAUCUAUACAUGAUCUGGGCUUGAUUCAAGUUCCAGAUCAAAGAUCUUACAACAUACUACAAGUACAACCAUUUAACCAACCAAAAAUAUAAACAGGUAAAGAUCUAUGGGGUCUGACAUUCGGUUGUCAGACCACAUUUUUUCUGUUUUCCAGAUUUUUGAAAUCUUUAAUUUCGAGCAUCUAAGUGUUAUGGAUCUGUGAUAUUACAACCCAGAUCACUAAUAUAUACUACACAUUUAAACAUAAAAUCACAACAUCAAACAUCAGAUCUAAGGAUUUCUAGAAUUAGGGUUUAUACCUCAUGAAUGCUAUAUUUUUGAAUCUGAUCCUUGAUGUUUGAUCCUGUGAAGCUAACACAUGAUCUUGGCUUAGCUUAUUACUCACUCUCACUCUAAAAUUUCGGAUGAGAGAGAGAGAGAAGGGUUGGCUAGGUUGAGAAAUAAAGUGUUUAACUUUUCUAUACUUAAUGCCUUUAAUCCAUGUUGCAAUGUAUUUAACCUAGCAAGUUGGCUUAUUAAAAUGAUUACUAGACCACAUGGCUAGCUAGAGUUGGUCACCAACUCCUUACUAGGGCUAGAUCUACACUCCACCUCAUUAAAAUAUAAAGAAGGGUAGUUUGGUCUUUUGACUCAUAAAGUGCAUGACAACUUGGUAACUUCUCAUAAUUAUUAGGUUUUAACCCUUAGGGUUUGACCCUUAGGGUUUAACCCUAAGAUUACACAAAUUUAUAUUCUAGACUUUUCUAAUUAGGUUCUAAAAUUAGAAAAUUAUAAUUAGGGUUCCCUAAUUAUAAUAAAGUUUACUAAUCACAUUCAAGCUUGCUAAUUAGGGUUAAGGCGUCCUAAUUAACAUUAAACUCUAUAAAUUAAUAAUUAGGUUUUCUCUAAUUGUACAUUAGGGUUUCCAACAUUAGAAAUAGGACUUUCUAAUUAAUCAAUUAGGGUUAUCCCUAAUUAUACUUACAAUUAAUAACAUAAAAACUUUAUACUUAUCUUCAAGCUUCCCAAUUAGGGUUUUAAUAUUCCAAAUUAGGGUUACGGAUUCCCAGAACUGAAAUUAGGGUUUCCAUAGCUUGUAAUAUGGUUUCUUAUCAGUCGUUAGGGUUUUCUAACUGAACGUCGAGGCUUUUAGUAUAUUAUUAGGUUUUGUGACUGAUAUAAUUUAUCCGGUCAACCCUUGACCCUUAACCACAUACUUUACACAUAUAUAACCAUAUACAGAGAUACUUUUAACACUGUAAACCUUCACCAAAAGUUUUUAAAUUCAUAAAAUUCAUUCCUAAACAUGUUAAAUACAUACACUUAUUUUCUGUCUAGGUCUAUUAUUUAACCUCUAUUCAAUCUUUUAAGAUUUUAUAAAAUUGUCUAAAUUCUCGGGUUGUCACAUUCACCCUUCUUCUAAUAAUUUCGUCCCUGAAAUUCAACUUACACCUCAUACCUUGCAUACACAACAUCACAUUCUACCCAAUACAUCACUGACAAGAGAAAAAAAAUUUCAAAUUGUGCUGAGGAGUCAUAUAGACUAUUUGUCUGUCAUUUUCGCAAAGGUUUUAUGGAAAUUCAUCCGCAAACCGUCAUAACUUACGGACACAAAGGGUGAUUAGCCCGAUAUGCCCUGUACUGGCCAAGUACUGUUGGUUGGAACAAGUUUUCCCCGUUCUUCUAUUCCAUCCGCCUCAGGCGCACAAAAUUUCUUACCUCAGUCUUUUUAGAUUCCGCACCAAAAUAAUUUGGUUCGGGAAAUUUCUUUCAAUGAACACUUAGAAUUUUUAUAAACAUUAGUCUAGCUGAAUCUAAUAGCAUAGACUCAUAUCAAUAAUUUAAUUCAAUCGAAUUAUUUACGUGUAGCCAAACCCCGUUGGCAAAUUAAAAUUUUUGAAAAUAUUUUUGAGAAUGACGUCAUGAUGUCGUACUAUAUUAAUAGUCCGUUUGAGGAUGCCAUCAUUGUACGACUUUCUCAUAACACAUCAUACAAUAGUGGAACAAUGAUUUUUAAAUCGAAUUCACACCAAGUAUUCCUGUAUUUACAACUCCAUCAACUUUUUAUCAUCUCUGCACCAGGUUACAUGGUACAUGAGUGAUAAAUAAAAUAUAUUUUGACAUUUUAAAUCAUUUGCGUCUAGCCGAAAUAAGUAGCAUAGACUAUACUUUUAAUCGUUUCAAAAAUGAUUACGAGUCUACAUUUUUUUAAAGAGCACAUAGUGCGUAUUUAGCUUGAUGUCAACAUUUCGAAGUCUAGCAUAGCUAUGAGUUUUGGAAAACUUAUAUCUCCACUAAUAAUCAUUUUCUUAAAUAGUCUAUUUAUUCCUAUUAUCCUCAAUACUCCAUUCACACUUAGUUCUACCAAGUUCGUCAAACUUACCACACUUAUGAGUUCAGGAACUUUCCACAAUCAUAUGAGUUUAAGAACUUGUCCUAGUCAGACCUUUAAUGUCCAUUCGCUGAGGGGUUCAUAAACAUUUCAUAUAACCAUGAGUCACAAACGUAACAUAAAUAUGAGUUUUAAGAACUCGUACUUAACCUUAUAUCCUCUACCUAUAACCUAUCUAUCUGUUAUACACACGAGAAAGGAAUCACCCUCUCAACAUGCAUUUAGCAAAUAGCACGACAUAAACAUUUCAUAAUCCCUUCAUAAUCUUAACUCUCUUCUCAAUACGAAUUUUUAUUCAAUUCGUAUUUAUAAUCCUUUCCUGAAUCUGUACUAAUUCAUAGUACAACAUACACACGACAUUCUUGUCGUAAAUUUUUCAAUCAUUCGCUUGAUCCUUCUCCAUACUAUAACCUUAUUAGAUCACGGGGUGAUCUCAUCGUAUAUAUUAUGAUUCAUUUCUAUGCUAUGAUCGUUUUGUUUUACAAUCUCCUAUCACUGUACUUUCAGUCUUUUAGACUCUAUCUAUUCAUUACUACUGUUCACCUUUAUUAUUAGAGUUAGGAAACUCUGUGUCUUUAUAAUUCGCCGAGAUUCGUCUUUGAAUCUUACCGACACACUGACUCUAUGUGAGUUAGAUCUUAUCCUAAUCACUGCGGUUAUUAGUCUAAGGUAGCUCUACCAUAGGUUUAUAGCCAACAACUUUGAUACCAAAUGUAGCGCCCCCAAAUCCAUGGUCCUAAAUCACCACGGAUCUGGUACACUAGUUCUAACUAUUGCAGAAAAUAUAAACAUAAAUUAUUUAUACAUUAAAUAUCAUACACUAUCCCCAAGGUCGAGUAACCAUAACUUAUACACAAUUUCAUACCUAUCUAACAUACAAAUAAAUUACUUUUACAAAUCUAGCUGCACACACAGUCCCAAGCUGAGCUUGGCUUUAUCUUUUCCUUGUAUCGACGCAUUCGCCUUAAUCUGCAAUGUUUUAUCAUGAUAUAACAAGGGUGAGCAUGAAAGUUGUCCAGCAGGUUUAAAUUAUAUUUAAGGAUAUAUCAUGAUUGAAAGAGUCUGAAUAAUAAGCUGGCUAUAAUUCAUCAAUAUAAUUGAGAACUAGCACGAACAAACUUUUGACUGAACAAGUAUUAAACAUGAACAAAUAUAUCUGAAGCAAAUGGUAACGAAGGUGAUCAGCCUUUCAUACCUGACUUAUACAUAUAAUAUGUACAGAGUACAAUUCUACAUGGCAAUCAGCAAUGAUUAACCAUAAGCAUAUCUAAAUGAAUCAACUCUUAGUAGAGUUAAGAAAAACACUUGCCUGUACCGUUGAUUACCGUUAUGAAAUAUAACUUAGCUUUAUCUGAAGACCUAAUAUAGAUAAUACUGAUCUCCAAAUAUUAGAAUAAUAUUAUGACAGUAUAAAAUAAUCUAAACACAUUAUCACAUAAUCCUAUCAGUCUAUACAUCACAUAAGACUUGGUAUCAGGUCAAACUAUUUCAGUCUGACUUGAAUCCGACACAAUUUUAACAUCCCGACGGUCUAGUUGGACAAUUAUCGAGUUUAAGUUUAAUUAAACUCUACCUAACACUUAACAAUUAUCUUAGGUAAUUUAUUAAUCAGUCAAAAUAAUUUUCAUAGACCCAUAAUAAUUUUCAGAUAAUUAUUAUCCUUUAUUAUGUUUUUACAAUCAAUAAUAUCAUAUUUAUAUGCAUUAA